UUACCAUGCAGUCGAACGAUGAACCUGGAGCUUGCUCUAGGGGAUUAGUGGCGAACGGGUGAGUAACACGUGAGUAACCUGCCCUUGACUCUGGGAUAACCUCCGGAAACGGAAGCUAAUACCGGAUAUGACGCACGGAGGCAUCUCCUGUGCGUGGAAAGAACUUCGGUCAAGGAUGGACUCGCGGCCUAUCAGGUAGUUGGUGAGGUAACGGCUCACCAAGCCUACGACGGGUAGCCGGCCUGAGAGGGUGACCGGCCACACUGGGACUGAGACACGGCCCAGACUCCUACGGGAGGCAGCAGUGGGGAAUAUUGCACAAUGGGCGCAAGCCUGAUGCAGCAACGCCGCGUGAGGGAUGACGGCCUUCGGGUUGUAAACCUCUUUUAGUAGGGAAGAAGCGAAAGUGACGGUACCUGCAGAAAAAGCACCGGCUAACUACGUGCCAGCAGCCGCGGUAAUACGUAGGGUGCGAGCGUUGUCCGGAAUUAUUGGGCGUAAAGAGCUCGUAGGCGGUCUGUCGCGUCUGCUGUGAAAACCCGAGGCUCAACCUCGGGCCUGCAGUGGGUACGGGCAGACUAGAGUGCGGUAGGGGAGAAUGGAAUUCCUGGUGUAGCGGUGGAAUGCGCAGAUAUCAGGAGGAACACCGAUGGCGAAGGCAGUUCUCUGGGCCGUAACUGACGCUGAGGAGCGAAAGCGUGGGGAGCGAACAGGAUUAGAUACCCUGGUAGUCCACGCCGUAACGUUGGGCGCUAGAUGUGGGGACCAUUCCACGGUUUCCGUGUCGCAGCUAACGCAUUAAGCGCCCCGCCUGGGGAGUACGGCCGCAAGGCUAAAACUCAGA
RNAcentral lists this ribosomal RNA (844 nucleotides) under Leifsonia sp. AS1(15). RNAcentral's name for it is "bacterial SSU rRNA". It matches the Rfam family "Bacterial small subunit ribosomal RNA", at positions 49 to 905 of the family's 1533-position model. Lineage: Bacteria; Bacillati; Actinomycetota; Actinomycetes; Micrococcales; Microbacteriaceae. The record is from RNAcentral.